AAAAGGCCGUCGUGGAAAUUCUCCAAAAGCCUCGCUACGGUCCGAACCCCCGUAAAUAAGAAGUUCACCCACCUCUGCGUUGAUAAUUCUCCAUCAAGGCAGUCAGUUCCUCUCCCAGAAACUAGUUAUCUCCCUCUUGGAGACUAGGAAGUCAACAGAAUGGCCGUUCUAGUUCCAUCCUAGAACCAUAGAAUUUUAUAGAUGAAAGAACCUUAAGAGAUCCUUGGUCCAAACUCUUUUGAAGUAGGGCAGGGAUUCAAAGAAGUUUAACCUACCCAAGAUUGACCAGCAGAGUCCUGGUCUGUACUCCCUCGCUGCUUUUCCUUAUUGAACAACUGACCUUAUAGGUAUCAUUCAGAGUUAAUCUUUUUAAAUGUUCAUUUCCCCUGUUUCUUUUUAUCCUGAAUUAGUGUUUAUGAGAACACCUUUCUCUGAAGCGUGGAAGGGCCCUCUCUUUGUUCCCUUCAUAAUCACUAGGAGGAUUGACUCUACCACACAAGGAUUUAUCCCCAGAUGUAUGCUCUUGCAGUAACUGAGGCAGGGCAAGGGGAGUGGCAACUUGCAGCCUGACUUAACUCCACACCUUGACUCCCUGCUGCUUUUCCAUCUGGGAGAAGAGUAUUUUGAAGGAUGCCUUUAAAAGAGAAAAGGAUAGUAUGCCCUGAGGCGGUAGGAAAUAACGUUUUGGAAACAGUUUUCAAGUUAGGGAGGAUAACCAGUUGCAAAGGUUUCCAAAAUAGAAAAACAAAACACUGACCGUCUCUCAGAUAGCAGCAUAUUAGCCAUUCCUUUUUACUUAGUAUUUAGUUACUUUUGAUUUUUUUAAAAAAGCAGUAGUCAAAAGAACCAAAAAAGGAUAAAAGCAUGACUCAAAGGAGAAAGUUACAAUAAUAGAAAAAUCUAUCAGUGAAACAAGAAAAAUAUUCCACUAGAACUUCAAACUUUCACAAUUCUUGCAAAACAUUUCUCUGGGUCACUGCUAAUGGGACGCUUCUAUUCUGUCUAUUACAGCAUUGCUACAUCUAUGAAGGAAGCUGAAAAGGGGGAAGAUUUUUUUUUCCUUUCUAGCCCUGUUGCUGAUACUCAGAAUACUAAAAUUACCUGGAUAAGUGGGAAUCAGAAGAAGAGAGACUUACUAUUCAUUGUAUAGUCUUUUUCAUCUUUUGAAGCAAUUGCUUAAAAGGAUAUGCCUUUUUGCAUACUUCGGCAGCACAUGUACUAAAAUUGGAAUGACACAGCAAAGAUUAGCAUGGUCUCUGCACAAGGACGACACACCAAUUGGUGAAGUGGACUGUACUUUAAAAAAAAAAGAUAUGCCUUUAAUUUAACAAAGAAUUGACAACAUUAAUUUGAUGAUUGCAGAAGAGACCACCUGUUACAAUUCCCACCUACCUGAGGAUCCAGCUGAAUUAAAGAUGGGACGUAGCAGCAACUGAUGGCUUAGAAAGAACAAGGAAAGUCUUUAAAAAACUGGUCACCCCGUGGAGUGCUCCUCUUUUAUUUUACAGUAAUUUUGUCUCCUCAAAACCCUUUUAUUCUCUAUUCCACCCCCAAUAAAUUCCUCCCUCUAAUCUACAGUGUAAAAGAGAUGUUCUCCAAAUUUUAAAACUGUAAAACACAUUUUAGGUCAAUAUUUCAUGUAGAAUAAAUUUAAUUUUGACAUACAUUUAUUUUAUAAGCUCAUUUACAUUUACUUUUAUCAAGUCAAUCAAAAGGAACAAUAAAGCCAUUUUGAUGAAUGUGAAAAAUGGAAAUCAGAAGUUAUGUAUAAUCAUUUCGGUUGUCUUUGUCUUUUCCUCCAAUUAUUAGUUUUAUUUUUAAAAUUUUUGAUUGGGCUAGGUCAUUCUUGCUGAGUAGGUUUUUCUCCAGUUGCAGCAAGCAGAGGCUACUCUCUAGUUGCUGUUGGCGGGCUUCGUAUUGCGGUGGCCUCUCUUGUUUCAGAGCAUGGGCUCUAGGGCAAAUGGACUUCAGUAGUCACAGAAUUUGGGCUCA
RNAcentral lists this long non-coding RNA (1992 nucleotides) under Capra hircus (goat). Lineage: Eukaryota; Metazoa; Chordata; Mammalia; Artiodactyla; Bovidae. The record is from RNAcentral.